Molecule: ribosomal RNA, 484 nt
Filed under: uncultured bacterium
Lineage: Bacteria
Description: partial 16S ribosomal RNA
Rfam family: Bacterial small subunit ribosomal RNA
Source: RNAcentral
AUUGAACGCUGGCGGCAGGCCUAACACAUGCAAGUCGAGCGGAUGAAGGGUGCUUGCUCUUGGAUUCAGCGGCGGGCGGGUGUGUAAUGCCUAGGAACCUGCCUCGUCGUGGGGGAUAACGUCCGGAAACGGGCGCUAAUACCGCAUACGUCCUGUGGUGGAAGGUGGGGGUUCUUCGGACCUCACGCUUUUGGAUGAGCCUAGGUCGGAUUAGCUAGUUGGUGGGGUAAAGGCCUACCAAGGCGGCGAUCCGUAACUGGUCUGAGAGGAUGAUCAGUCACACUGGAACUGAGACACGGUCCAGACUCCUACGGGAGGCAGCAGUGGGGAAUAUUGGACAAUGGGCGAAAGCCUGAUCCAGCCAUGCCGCGUGGGUGAAGAAGGUCUUCGGAUUGUAAAGCACUUUAAGUUGGGAGGAAGGGCAGUAAGAGAAUACCUUGCUGUUUUGACGGUACCAACAGAAUAAGCACCGGCUAACUUCGUG